UGUAUAUAUCUACGAUACAUGAUUGUAAAGGUAACCAAGCAUUGAGUCAAGCAAUAAUGCAAACUACUGUAAACUGUCAAGAGUGCAAAAAGGAACCAAUUCGAUGGAAAUGUAGGCAGUGCACGACAUAUUUCUGUAGCGCGUGUAAACUCACUCAUAGAGAAUAUACUCGAAAUGAAAAAUUUCAACAUAAAGUGGUUGCUUUCAAUGCUGCCGAAAUAUCCGAUCUGAGUGAUUUUAAUAGAAUAUUUAGUGGAAAUGAGAAAAGAGAAAAAAGACUUAAAAUUACUGACAUCAAAAUAGUGGGUGUCUCAUUGAUGUAUGUGUUACUUGCCCUAAUGCCGAUUUGUCCUGUAACUGACACAAGACUUAAUAUGUAUACAUCCACAAUAGACCAAUGGACAGGAUUUAAAUUUGAUACUGCAGUAGUUUGCUUUGGAUUUGGAGCAGUCGGAUUAUCAUGUGCGUUCAUUUUGUCAUACGGAUAUUUCUGGCGCCGUGUUAAUUUCAUUAAAGGAGUUGGAAUUGUCAUGACGGCCCAUAUUCUGAUUUUUGUAUUAUCUGGGUUUGUCGUUGAACCCAUAUUAAUUUUCGCUUUAUAUCCAUUUGCCUACUAUGUGUACAAGAAGACUAACCAAUAUAAGAUAACCCCGUUCGGAAAUUUGACAUUUAAAGGCCCAGUUAAGAAACAUGACUAAGUUAAACAAAAUAUCGAACUCAACAUCUUUUGGAGUUUUAAAAGACUGAUGUGCGGUUUCUUAUAAUUUUCAUUCCAGUCUGGUGGAUCACUGACUAGUCAAAUAAUGGGUGUAUGGUGAAUGUCAAUAACAGUUCUUCUUAUACUACAAUCUUGAAGACAAUUGUUAUUUCUAAUCUAAUGAAAUCAUGUAUCACAUUAAAAGUGUUGUGCAAUUUUCGGCAUAACCCUCUGAGUGUGUCAUUUUGUUUCUGUUUGCAUGGCACAUUUUAUUUACAAGUUAAGCUGACAAUUAUGUACUUUCACUUCUUUUCCAUUUUACUCAAUCCUGUAACGUUCGUAUCAGGCUGAUAUCCUGUUGAAAUGAAACAAAAGAAAUGGAACUCAUUAUUAGAGAAGGUAUGAAUGAUCAAGUUGGUAUAUUUGAUUUUUUUUACAUCUGUUUCUGUGGGCUUUAGAAGAUUAAUGUAGAUGCAUAAUUUAGGAUUUUUUGCAUCUAAUAUACGUGUGAAUAGUAAAAAAAAAUCAUAGAAUGGAACCUCGAGAUAUAUGUGAACUUUGAAAGAAAAGACAAAUUUUCACAAAACAGUCCAUUAUGGUCGGUGCGAAUACAUGUGGAUUUGUUUUUGCAUAAAAAUAACUUCAACUGAAACAAACCAUUGAAAGAUAGAAAAUUAUCAUUUCAAAUCAUUAAUUUGCAUCUUUUUUUUGGAAGAAAAUCCUAAAAUGAACAUCAAUAUCAUCGAAAAGAGAUAGUCGGAUGUACCUUUUUAUGUUCAGGCGUGUUUGAGUUGACUAUUUUGUUUUAAAAACGUAUAAAGCACAAACACAUUUGAUAAAUCAUCUCGGUUUAGAUUCCUUUUUUUUUUAUUAUUAAGGCUACGUGUUGAUAUAACAAUAUUAAAAAUUCACAGUACAAAGAAAUCAACUAUAUUAGUCAACUGAAAUACCUUUCUAAUGAGUCAUAACAACAGAUUAGGUUGUUUGAAUAACAAACAAAAAAAAAACGAUUCGUGUUACAAAAAGGCAUUGUACAUCAUUCUGAUGAACCAGCUAUAUUUUCAAAGUGUGACCUUUAUAAAGUGAAGUGCCAGACGUAUAGGUAUGAUAUAUCUUUUAUAUAGUAGAACAAUUGUACAUGACUAAACAACUCUGAUUUUGUCUUAUAUUUCUUGUCACUAUUGUGCUACACUAUUCAAUAAAAUCUCUAGUAUUCUGA
Mytilus californianus (California mussel) is the source of this 1916-nucleotide long non-coding RNA. RefSeq lists it as uncharacterized. The transcript has 3 exons. NCBI's taxonomy places the organism in Eukaryota, Metazoa, Mollusca, Bivalvia, Mytilida, Mytilidae. The record is from RefSeq and is a predicted model, not a curated record.